RNAcentral lists this ribosomal RNA (483 nucleotides) under uncultured bacterium. RNAcentral's name for it is "partial 16S ribosomal RNA". It matches the Rfam family "Bacterial small subunit ribosomal RNA", at positions 28 to 523 of the family's 1533-position model. The record is from RNAcentral.
GAUGAACGCUGGCGGCGUGCCUAAUACAUGCAAGUCGAGCGAACCACUUCGGUGGUGAGCGGCGAACGGGUGAGUAACACGUAGGUGAUCUGCCCAUCAGACGGGGACAACGAUUGGAAACAAUCGCUAAUACCGGAUAGGACGAAAGUUUAAAGGUGCUUCUGGCACCGCUGAUGGAUGAGCCUGCGGCGCAUUAGCUAGUUGGUAGGGUAAAGGCCUACCAAGGCGACGAUGCGUAGCCGACCUGAGAGGGUGAACGGCCACACUGGGACUGAGACACGGCCCAGACUCCUACGGGAGGCAGCAGUAGGGAAUCCUCGGCAAUGGGCGAAAGCCUGACCGAGCAACGCCGCGUGAAUGAUGAAGGCCUUCGGGUUGUAAAAUUCUGUUAUAAGGGAAGAACGACUUUAGUAGGAAAUGGCUAGAGUGUGACGGUACCUUAUGAGAAAGCCACGGCUAACUACGUGCCAGCCGCCGCGGUAA